UACGGAGGAUUCAAGCGUUAUCCGGAUUUAUUGGGUUUAAAGGGUGCGUAGGCGGUCGGAUAAGUUAGAGGUGAAAUCCCGGGGCUCAACUUCGGAAUUGCCUCUGAUACUGUUCGGCUAGAGAGUAGUUGCGGUAGGCGGAAUGUAUGGUGUAGCGGUGAAAUGCUUAGAGAUCAUACAGAACACCGAUUGCGAAGGCAGCUUACCAAGCUACUUCUGACGUUGAGGCACGAAAGCGUGGGGGGCAAACAGG
Molecule: ribosomal RNA, 253 nt
Filed under: uncultured bacterium
Lineage: Bacteria
Description: partial 16S ribosomal RNA
Rfam family: Bacterial small subunit ribosomal RNA
Source: RNAcentral